GAUGAAGAACGCAGCGAAAUGCGAUAAGUAAUGUGAAUUGCAGAAUUCAGUGAAUCAUCGAAUCUUUGAACGCACAUUGCGCCCGCCAGUAUUCUGGCGGGCAUGCCUGUUCGAGCGUCAUUACAACCCUCAGGCCCCCGGGCCUGGCGUUGGGGAUCGGCGGAGCCCCCCGUGGGCACACGCCGUCCCCCAAAUGCAGUGGCGGUCCCGCCGCAGCUUCCAUCGCGUAGUAGCUAACACCUCGCGAGUGGAGAGCGGCGCGGCCACGCCGUAAAACACCCAACUCUUCUGAAGUUGACCUCGAAUCAGGUAGGAAUACCCGCUGAACUUAAGCAUAUCAAUAAGCGGAGGA
Molecule: unclassified non-coding RNA, 352 nt
Filed under: soil metagenome
Description: partial contains 5.8S ribosomal RNA, internal transcribed spacer 2, and large subunit ribosomal RNA
Rfam family: 5.8S ribosomal RNA (bases 1-120)
Source: RNAcentral